UUACAUGUACAGUUUAUAUAUACAAAACCUAUUAUACCAGUAGUUAAAGUAUGGAAUUUUUUUUAUACAGUAUUAAUAAAUUUAUUACAUGUAAGUAAAUUCUAUUGUAGGAUGGAUUGGUGACAAUGAGAAAUGAGAUGCAUGAUGAUCUCAUUGUCAAUUGGGGUAUGGCAGAGCACAGUUGCCAGGCUAAGGCUGAUACAAUGCUUAAAGUACUUAAUGAAAUAGACAAAAGAUAUGGUAGUACCAGUCAGUAUCUGGAAUCAAUUGGGUUUACUCUUGAAGAUCAAGAAUCAUUGAAAUCAAUACUUCUUCAUUAGCACAGAACCGGUCUUCAUUACAAUCUAUAAUUUUAACUUUAAAAAAAAAUGAAUUUAUAGUUCUUUGUGAUAGAGGCAUUGUGUCCUUAUUUAUAUUUUAUCUUUUAACUUUUUGUGUCUGACGAAGUAACUGAGCUUUUUGUUUUUUCAAUGAG
Long non-coding RNA from Amphimedon queenslandica, 475 nucleotides. RefSeq lists it as uncharacterized. Lineage: Eukaryota; Metazoa; Porifera; Demospongiae; Haplosclerida; Niphatidae. The record is from RefSeq and is a predicted model, not a curated record. The transcript has 2 exons.